Molecule: long non-coding RNA, 6496 nt
Filed under: Cricetulus griseus (Chinese hamster)
Lineage: Eukaryota; Metazoa; Chordata; Mammalia; Rodentia; Cricetidae
Description: lncRNA (ENSCGRG00015038113.1)
Source: RNAcentral
UGGAUCAAGUGUAUGGAAAGUCUAUAACUGAAGAUUAAAGCUAUGCAUUAGCUUAGAUUGUAAAAGCUGAUUACAUAGAAAAACCCAAAACAUAGUAUGAUUGGCUACAUUGUUCUUUUAAAGGCAGAUUAGAUUAAAUGUAGUAGGGCAGUAGGCUAAAUAUGGAUUAAGUACUCUCAGGGCAUAUUAUUAAUUUGACUGCAAGGUCUAGUACAUGUUCUUUGGAGUCAAAAGAACUUUUAGAAAAAUGUGAGACUACACUUAUUGUGUACCUAUUUCUGCCUGGAUCCCAGCUAGUGCUGAGCUUAUAAAACCCCCAUUCUUAGUUUAAAAACAGAGAAACAAACAGACAGAAGACAAAACAAAGCAUGAGUUCUCAGAAACAAAUUUAUGUACUUAUAUUCCUAUAGGAUCACUUUGGAAAUGGAAGUACCACAGCUCAGCACAAACACACAAACACACAUACACACACACACACACACACACACACACACACACACACACACACACGCACACACACACACACACAUACACACACACAAUCUGUAGGAUACAGCUAAAGCAGAGCUUGAAGUUCAUAGUACUAGUUUUGCACAUUAGAAAACUAUAAAUCCCUUCAAUAAGUAAUAUGAGUUUCCAUCCCAAGAAGAUAAAUAAAGGAAAACAAGACACAACAAGAACAAAGCAUGCAAUGUGGAUAAGACCUGAAAUCAAUGAAAUGGAAAACUCCAGAGAGACAUCUUUGAGAGAUGGAACUAAUGUUUAAAAAACACCAGCAAAAAGAUGGGCAUUGGUGGUGCACACCUUUAAUCCUAGCACUCUGGAGGCAGAGGAAGGCAGAUCUCUGUGAGUUCAAGACCAGCCUAGUGUGCAAGAGACAGUUCCAGGACAGCCUCCAAUGCCACAGAGAAACUCUGUCUCAAAAAAAAAAAAAAGACACCAACAAAGAACUGACAAACUAUCUCAAGUUGGGGAAAGCAAGUUUUAUACAACCUCUACAGAAAAUACUGGAAAUAAUAUUUUCUGACACUCAAUUAGAAGUCAAAACCAAAACUGUAUACUAGUGCAAUGCACACAGGUCAUCAUAAAUAAUAAGCAGAAUUCAUCAGCAUAUAAAACAAAGCCUGAUGAUAGACAGAUGUUUAUUUCAAGGCUGCAGAAUCUGAAAAUCAGUCACCUAUGUGGCAAGAAUGAGAAAAAUGUGGUGCUAUCAACUGAUACAGAAAAAUCAUUUGAUCAAACUCAUAACAUUCUGGGAUUAAAAAAGAAAAAAAAAAAGAACCUAGAGGAAUGCCUUUCUGUCGAUGAAGAGUUGACAGAACCAGUCAGUCAAGCUCAGUUAGUACAUGAAUUUAUCACUAAUAAUAGCAAAAAGGCCAGAUAUUUUUCUCUGACAGCCUUAUUCAGCAUCGUGACCAAAGUUCUACUCACCCACAUUCACAUACACAUACUUGCACAUUAGUUAAUAUAAAACUAAAUUAAAAUACUUAAAAUUGAACAAUCACUAGUAAUCUAUAAAAUACAAAUGGUGUGCAAUUUCCUGCCAACCAGAAUAUACUGCUAAAGGUCUUAAGGGACCAAUUUUUUGUCAGGAACAAGAUACCUGAGAAUUCACACCCAAAUAAUCUAGUUAAAAUACUCUGAAGAGUAGAUGUUUAUUGGAUAUUGAGACUAUUAAUACCUGCAGGUUAAGAUAUUUCAUUGCUGGAAGUAUUUGCCUUGAAGAACUUCCAUUCAAAUAGCCAUGGGAACAGUGAGAGGUGCUGAUUAUGGCUUCAUACACUUGCAAGGAGUUCUGGGGAGUUGGCUCAUUUGGUAAAAUGUUUGUUCAUUGAGCAAGACCGUCACCUAACUCUGGAUACCCAACAUACACAUAGUAGCUAAGCAUGAUGGCACACAUCUUCAAUCCCAGGACUGGAGAGGCUGAGACAAAUGCCUGAAUAUCAUUGACCACCCAGUCUAGCUCAGUUAGUACAUGGUUUCCAAAUUCCAUAAGAGAAUCUGUCUAAAAAAUAAGGUGAUUAGUAACUAAGGAAGAUGCUGAAUGAAUUCUGGCCACCAGACUCCACAUCUGUGCAUGUUUGCACAUGCAUACACACACACACACACACACACACACACACACACACACACACACACACACACACACACUAUACACCCUGUGUAUGUGUACAUGAAUACACAUGUUAAAGGGAACAAAUUAAAGUAAAAUGAAUCUGUUGGGUAAGGUUAUUCUGCUGAUAGGAUAUGAUAUGUGUAGCAACUGAAGUAAAUUGAAUCAUUUUUGUUUGCAUGAAUAACUCUGGUCCUUAAAAACAAACACUCAGAGGGAAAAACAAUUCACCUGAACUUUCAAACCAAAUGGUACUUAAGUAUUUUUCUUUAUUAUGGACAGAUGUAUAUUAUGAAAGAAUACAAACAUUAGAACAAGUGUUAUUUCUGGGGAGGAUAUGGGAAUAAGUGGGUUUUCAGGCUUAUUGGUAAUUGUAUAUUUUCUUUAAGAGAAUGAAAAAUGAAAGGGACUGAAAUUAGAAGUUAGCAGCAGCUGAUGAACAUCUGUUCAUUCUAGCUAGCAUCUACAUACAUAUUUAUUUCACUGUUUUCUCUGACUUUUCAUUUGUUAUCAAUAGUUCCUAAACAAGAAAAAAAAAUAAAGUGACAUAUGGUCUGUGAGAUGACUCAGCACUGAAAACACUCAAGUAUACAGUUUAAAGAGCACAUGCACAAUUAGAAGUCACAAUGUACCUGAGCAUGUAAUUAUCAAAUUUGAAGAUUCCAACAAAGGUAGUUUCCCAGGACCAGUAUACUAUACACAACAGAAUACCAAGAUUUUGACAGUAAUUUGGCCUAGGCAGUGGUGGCGCAUGCCUUUAAUCCCAGCACUCAGGAGGCAGAGACAGGCAGAUCUCAGUGAGUUUGAGCCCAGCCUGGUAUACUGAGUGAGUUCCAGGAUAGUCUCCAAAGCUACAGAGAAACACUGUCUCAAAAAAGAUUUUUGACAGAAAUUCACAAUCCUUUCAAUCAAAAAAUUAUAUAGAAAAUCAAUUUGUCCUUAACUUUCCAAAUUCAUCAGUAUUCUUCAUAAAACUAAACAAAUACAAUAAAUAAAAUUAGCAGACUUUCCCCUUAACAUUUCAUCAAUUGCUGCUCAGUCUUAAAAAGUAUAAUUCUGCUUGCAUGACUUCUCAUACAGAUCGCACCCAACAUUUUAUACCACUAAUCACUGCCUUGCUGCAUGAAUUUCUUAUGAUAAUUAUUUGCAGGUAAAUUUAUCAAUAUUUAGCCCGCUGCUGUAAUUUAAGAUGCAUUCAAAUAAAUACUCGUAUUAAUACAUGUUCUCUCAUGGAGAAGUACAAACAGCACAAAUGGGAUCUUUUAUUGAUGCACAGUACGCGGAAGCCAGGUUCCCACUCACCUCUCCAGAGAAACACACUGCUACCAAUUGUGAGCAGGCUUUGUCACUCUCAGAAAUAUUGACACACCAGUUGAGAUAAUUACUUGUUUGGGCCUGUUCUGGGGAUGUUUCAUAGCAGCCUUGUGUUCUAGCACUAUACUUUUCCCAAGCUGAGAUGACAAAAACACUUCUAAACAUUGGCACAUAUUUUCACAAAGCAUAUUACCAACUUCAGAACUACUACUAAAGCAUAUAUCAUUUGAGACCUUUUACAAUAGGGUCAUACACAAUAAUUAAUGUAUAAUAAAAUAUACGUGGAUUCAUAUAGAUACAUAUAUAACUUCAAAUAUAAAUGAUAAGAUGCCACAUAGAUUAUUGUACACCUUGGUUCUUUUCAGUUAAUAGUAAUUUGUUAGCAUCUUUAAACAAUAAUGCAUUUAGUUUUUAUUUGUUAUCAUUAUUAUUCCUAUUUUUGUGUUGCUAUUGUUGGUUUGUUUAAAACUCUUCUGUUUUAAAAUAAUAAAACUGAUUUGGGUAUGUUCAUCCUGGCAAAAGAAAUUGAUUUGCACUCUGCUGCCAGUGUGCUUUUCCAGUCUGGGUGAGUGUAUGCCUUCUAUUACUAUGAGGCAAAGUAAAUACACCCAACAGGAGUAUUUGCCUAUGCCCCUAAUAUCUCCACAGGUUUCCUGAAUCAUCCUCUCUCAUUUCCUCUUCUUAUGGAAGAGCCAUGUUAUCUAGAUAUAAAUAGACCCUUCAUCCCUGUCAUGUGGUACCUAGAAUGGUCUGUACCCUUUCCUUGAGCAUUUUAAAGCUAACCAUUAUUGAGGCCAUAAAUCACCCAUUCACAGACUCAUUUCCCCUGAAAGGGCCUAGGAGCCUGUCAGGUGCUUUGUAUUUGAGAAAACAUAGCUCUGAGCUGGAAGGUGUACGGCAGGGCACUAAAGUUUCUAGGUCAGGCAUAAGAAGUGCCCUGACCUUCCCUCAUUAACCCCAGUAUCAUCUUUCCACCCCAAGCCUCAGUUUCCUCAGCAUGACAGGAUUUCAGUAAGACUCUUAUCAGUCCUCACCAGUAUGCUAUGAAAGUCUUAACCAAAUAUUUUGCAUAGAUUGUAUUCAGCUCUCUGCAAAUUACCAUGUUGAAUGUCCCUUGGGCAUUUUAUAUUGAUAAAACAAAGUUAGAGGCUAGAGCAGUUUACUGUGUCAUUCCAACAGAGACUCUGGUGAUGAAACCAUAAAUGAAAUUUAUAGUGGUUUAUCUAGAAAUGUCAACAAAAUUUUGCCUCUACUCACUUAGUCUUUGUUACUACUAACAUCAAUUAUUCAAGAUGCAUAAUAUUCUUUAUUCAUAACCCAUUUUUCUAUGCCUAAAAUAAUUUAAUGUUUUAAUAGCACAAUUUAUUCUUUUUUAAAUGAACAAAUAUACACCUAUUGGUCGGAAUUAAAUGUAAAAAAUGUAAACAAAUGUUCUGUAAAUCAUUUUGUAAAUAGUAGGGAUGCAACUGCUAUAAGAUAUUUGAUUGCAUAAAGAUAUGUCACGGUGAGAGCUUGUUGCUGAGACAGAAAAAGACUUGUUACAUAUGGUGCCCAAUGUAGGGCCUCAAAUAUUUACAUAGGGCUGAAGAAAGUGGUCUCUUAGGCUGCCUCAGCAUACAGAGGUGUGGCUCUUUUAAGAAACCAUGCUGUAAAGCCAAUACAGCCAAGCACUUGAGCAGCUAGCAAGGGGAACAACUUCCUGCUUCAGGCAGAAACAACACAUUCCCAGAGCUGUGGUGGAUAAAUGCAGCUCUGGAGUUGGUACCCACCAACAUGAGAGUAGGCUCUCACAGAACACAGAGGGGUAGAGCCAGCACACCAUAUGAUAGUAGUUUUAGAUUUGUAUAAUGGUCAAAGAAUGAAAAUGCAGGAACACAGCAAAGUGGUCCAGACUGAGAAACACUUUUAAGCAAAUACUGUAAAAAUGGGUAAAGAAAGUCAAAAAAUAUUUUAAAAAUAAUAAGUUUUUUGAAGAGAGAGUAAAGAUGGGAAAUAUGAAGGGUAUCUGCAUCCUGUACAUUACUUGUUGACUUUAAAUUUUUAAAUGCUAAUGAACCAGAAGUAAUAGCUGCUGAAAGACAUUGGAUUAUGAAAACUGCUAAAUUUAAUCAACCUAUAUAUCUUUAACAUGUAUUAAGUUCAAAAUGUAAGUCAGAAAAUAUAUUGCAUUGGGGGAGAGAUUAUGCCUCUUUUCCACAGAAAACAAAGGUUAUGGUUCUCUUCAAAAUUAAUAAAGAUUAGAUUUGAUCAGGGGAAACUUCCUGAAAAUCUUGGCUACAGACAUAAAAGGAAAAAAAAAAACAACAAAAAGACUACAGGCAGGUGACAUAUAUGCUGAUAUCUCUACUAUUGGGAUAGCUGAGAGACUCGAUGAAAGCUGAUAAAUCUUGUUGGCUACAGUGUCCUCAUGACAGUUUGAUUAUUCAGUCCAAACAGACUUAUAAAGUUGACAGGAGCUAUUUACCUGAUCAAACAUAGAACAAAACUAAUCUUUAGUUGACUUUUGCACACUAUUAAUAUAGAUAUGUAUGUUACUUAUAAAAAUGUGUAUGUUUUUAGAAGAAAAUGACUAGACACCAAAAAAGAAAAAUAGACCAGAUACUCUGCUGCUCAGAAUGUCUCUGUUACAGUUUCCCCCAAAAUCUGUAUCCAGAACAACUUCUAAGCUGCUAGCUGAGAUGGUCCAGCCUCCUGCCAUGGCUUCAGAUAAGCUCUACAUGUUCCCAUUAAACAGAGACUAAACAAAAAAUAAUCCAGAUAAUUUUCUCAGGACUUGACCAUUAUCCCUGUUUUCUCAAGGCUCCCCAAAGAUGCUAUCAUCCACCAAACAACAGGAAGCAGUCUAGAGAACACAAUCCCCACAUUCUCAAGAGGGGGGAAAUUCUUCAAGCUGCUGUAUUACCCUGUGGAAAUAUAUGUCACUGUAAUUGCUUUAAGAAGAAGCUGAAUGGUUAAUAGUGAGACAGGAAUUAUAGGUGGUAUUUGAGGUAAGAGAGAACUAUUGGGAGUGGGGUGAAGGAGUUGCAAGCCAUAUGUGGAGGAAGCAGAAUAGGCAGAACAGUGAUUACA